ACAGUCCCCUGGGACGCCCUCGCGACUGG
RNAcentral lists this small RNA (29 nucleotides) under Bombyx mori (domestic silkworm). RNAcentral's name for it is "ovarian small RNA-4370". Lineage: Eukaryota; Metazoa; Arthropoda; Insecta; Lepidoptera; Bombycidae. The record is from RNAcentral.